Molecule: ribosomal RNA, 616 nt
Filed under: uncultured bacterium
Lineage: Bacteria
Description: bacterial SSU rRNA
Rfam family: Bacterial small subunit ribosomal RNA
Source: RNAcentral
AGAGUUUGAUCCUGGCUCAGAUUGAACGCUGGCGGCAGGCCUAACACAUGCAAGUCGAGCGGCAGCACAAGGGAGUUUACUCCUGAGGUGGCGAGCGGCGGACGGGUGAGUAAUGCCUAGGGAUCUGCCCAGUCGAGGGGGAUAACAGUUGGAAACGACUGCUAAUACCGCAUACGCCCUACGGGGGAAAGGAGGGGACCUUCGGGCCUUCCGCGAUUGGAUGAACCUAGGUGGGAUUAGCUAGUUGGUGAGGUAAUGGCUCACCAAGGCGACGAUCCCUAGCUGUUCUGAGAGGAUGAUCAGCCACACUGGGACUGAGACACGGCCCAGACUCCUACGGGAGGCAGCAGUGGGGAAUAUUGCACAAUGGGGGAAACCCUGAUGCAGCCAUGCCGCGUGUGUGAAGAAGGCCUUCGGGUUGUAAAGCACUUUCAGUAGGGAGGAAAGGGUAAGUCUUAAUACGGCUUAUCUGUGACGUUACCUACAGAAGAAGGACCGGCUAACUCCGUGCCAGCAGCCGCGGUAAUACGGAGGGUCCGAGCGUUAAUCGGAAUUACUGGGCGUAAAGCGUGCGCAGGCGGUUUGUUAAGCGAGAUGUGAAAGCCCUGGGGCUCAA